GACGUCGAUAUUCGACGUCAUAAACACGAUCAACUUUGGUGUUUAUGACGUCGAUAUUCGACGUCAUCAACACGAUCAACUUUGGUGUUUUUGACGUCGAUAUUCGACGUCAUAAACACGAUCAACUUAGAUGUUUAUGACGUCGAUAUUCGACGUCAUAAACACGAUCAAUUUUGGUGUUUAUGAGUUCGAUAUUCGACGUCAUCAACACGAUCAACUUUGGUGUUUAUGACUUCGAUAUUCGACGUU
Molecule: microRNA precursor, 249 nt
Filed under: Paramuricea clavata
Lineage: Eukaryota; Metazoa; Cnidaria; Anthozoa; Malacalcyonacea; Plexauridae
Source: RNAcentral